Molecule: microRNA precursor, 97 nt
Filed under: Podarcis lilfordi (Lilford's wall lizard)
Lineage: Eukaryota; Metazoa; Chordata; Lepidosauria; Squamata; Lacertidae
Source: RNAcentral
AUCUUUCUUAUUCCCCCCUUCUUUCCUGCUUUUCUUUCUCUCUCUUUAUAUAUGAGAGAGAAAGAAAAGCAGGAAAGAAGGGGGGAAUAAGAAAGAU